GCUUAUACAGGUGUUGCAUGGCUGUCGUCAGCUCGUGUCGUGAGAUGUUCGGUUAAGUCCGCUAACGAGCGCAACCCUCGCCGUAUGUUACAAGUGUCAUACGGGACUGCCGGUAAAAAGCCGGAGGAAGGUGAGGAUGAUGUCAAGUCAGCAUGACCUUUAUAUCCAGGGCUACACACACGCUACAAUGGUCUGUACAAUUGGUUGCCAAGCCGCGAGGCGGAGCCAAUCCGUAAAGCAGGCCUCAGUUCAGAUUGCAGUCUGCAACUCGACUGCAUGAAGCCGGAGUUGCUAGUAACCGCAGGUCAGCAAUACUGCGGUGAAUACGUUCCCGGGUCUU
This 340-nucleotide ribosomal RNA is filed under the name uncultured Anaerolineaceae bacterium. Its description in RNAcentral is "bacterial SSU rRNA". It matches the Rfam family "Bacterial small subunit ribosomal RNA", at positions 1028 to 1382 of the family's 1533-position model. The record is from RNAcentral. Lineage: Bacteria; Bacillati; Chloroflexota; Anaerolineae; Anaerolineales; Anaerolineaceae.